Molecule: long non-coding RNA, 1123 nt
Filed under: Mus musculus (house mouse)
Lineage: Eukaryota; Metazoa; Chordata; Mammalia; Rodentia; Muridae
Description: predicted gene, 63618
Source: RNAcentral
GGGUUCAGCAACCAAACUUGACAUCUUUAAUUACCAGUCUCUCAUGAGUGGUACCAAAGCUCAUGUGAAGGUUGGUGAGUUUGUCUUCAAAUCUCACAGUGUUCAGCAUUUAUCUCUAAAUGAAGAACUUAUAAGUUGGGGUGAGCAGCACAAUCAGCAGGAGUCAAUUGCAAGAAGUCAUCAGCUUUUGGUCUAGGAAUAGAACAACCAAGUUAAUUGGCAAAAACUUUCAGCUUUAACCACCAGAAUAGCAAGAGAGAGUUGAAUAAUAAGAAGCCAUCAGUUUCUGGAUCCCAGAAGAACUCCUUCAUCUGUUUGCAGUCAAAGUUGUCCACUUGGACUUCGGAAAACACCUGUUGAAGGGAAACCAUUCUGUUGUUUUGAUUGUGUCCCUUGUCCAGAUGGAGAGAUUUCAAAUGAAACAGGUAUUUGCUUUUAUCUAGGCCACAACUUACUUUAAACAUAAUUGCCAGAUCUCGAGAAGGGCAAACUCAAGUUGGAACUUACAAUAUUGAGAGGAAUCAGCACUCAACCAUGGUCAAAAUCAAGCUCAGAAAAUGGAUGAAUGAGCAAAGUGGGUCAUAGUUUUUAACUCCAGAGACUGCUUGCACACUGUAAUAUUGGACACAGUACCAUCAUAAGAACAAGAUACAUCUACAGUAUUCAGAGUCUACCUUGUGUCUCAAUUAAUGCUUAUCUUUUGUGUAUGUAAACUUAUAUUAUAAAUUCUUUAGAAGCUUUUCAUCAGGUAAGCAAUUAUUUUGUGCCACUUUCCUUAAGAAAUAUUGGAAUAGUUGAAGCCACCUGUUUCUCUCCUUCAAGCAUGUUCCUUUCAUUGCAGUUCUCCAGAGGGAUGCCUCAUUGUAAGCCUUGUUUUGAUUUUUUUGCUCUGUCUUAAGUAUCAGUUUUCAUUUUUAGGAUAUACAUUGUCAAAAUUGUCAGUUGAAACUCAUGUAAUUAUAGCAUUCUUUAGGUAUUCUAUGAUUUACUGCCUUUCUUAAGCCUGCUUUAGGAGUUUACACAUAUAGUAGUCAAGAAUGUACCUAUUCCCAGUCUUUUCCACUGAUGAAUGUUAAAUGUUUGUAACCAAAAUUAUUUUAAUAAACACCAGAUUCUCUUCAUG